Long non-coding RNA from Taeniopygia guttata (zebra finch), 5308 nucleotides. The record is from Ensembl. NCBI's taxonomy places the organism in Eukaryota, Metazoa, Chordata, Aves, Passeriformes, Estrildidae.
GCACCAGGGAAGGGGUGAAUGUGCAAAUCCACAUGGAGCAGAGAUCUGCAGUGCUACUGAUAUGCUUGCUGGAGGAGGGCUCAGCUGGAAAGAGAAAACGGGAGGCCCCUGGUGAGCUGGGGAAGGGGAAGAGGAUGGCACUGGAACAGACAUCAUGGUAUCAGGUGGCACAUCAAGUGGCUGGGGACCCUACCUGGCUUUGAACUGCUCUGCCAAGGGGAACAUUAUGCCCAUGGAUGUGAUAUCGUCAACUCCCUCAAAAGCAAGCUAACAAGCAAAUUGACCUCCACAGCACCUCCACAGCACUGGGAGAGGAGCUUUCUCCCACGGAACAAUAGCCUUUCCACCUCUGAGGUAAAAGAGGUCCCAAGGACAGAACUGAACCUGCAAGACCCAUGGCCUCGUGGCCUGCCCUUCCUCCUUCCCUCCUUACCUCAUGUCUGUCUUGGGGGAGGGACAGUUUCCCUGUGGAGUUCAACAAGCUCCUCUUCCUGCAGCUUGUGAACAGGCUCUACUAACAGGUAUAUCAUCCACCUAUGCAACUCUUCCAGAAGCUGCCAGAUUUUCAGGAGCCCAUUACAAUGUGCAGCAUGGCCAUCCAGCACUGAGAAAUAAGCACAGCAGCUGCUGGAAAGCUAAGUGGGUUUUAUUCCUCCCCCAUUCCCCAGGAAGACUCUUUUUGUUGGGCCAUUUUGUUUGUUCGUUCAUUUGUUUGGUUUUUGUAAAAUUCAUUUGGGGGAAAUGAAGCUUGUGAGAAAUCGGUGCCCAUCCUGAACCCUCCCCAGUCUUUCGAACUCUGUGAAUGGAUGGAUCACCUACUGUGAUUAUAAUUUAGUGGAUUUUGUAGAACAAAAUAACUUCACACACAGACACAUGAGGUUCUUUCACUCUCCAUCAGCACAAGCUGCUUCUGCAAUCUUAGCUACUCACAUUAGUGAAAGAAAAAGCCUACCUAGAACAUGGUGAGAUGACACAGUACUUUGUAUCAGUCCCAUGGUCCCAACGUCCAUUAGCAGCGCCAUCAGCUGCCAUGACAUGAAUUCAGACUUUGGAUGGCAGCCCAUGAACCGGUCAGGGUGAAAAUUUGGCAGAUCCCAAGCCUGAGUCUAUGCACAUUUCCAGAAGCAGAUGCAGAGGGAGGAGCAGCUGAAAGCAGGCAUCACCUCCUGCUCGGCCAAGGCAGAAGCUGGUGGGCUCUGUGUGUGCUGCACCUGCCCCCCAGGAACAGCCUGUCCUCAGGGGCUGAGCAGAGGGGAGCGAGAGCAGUAGUGUGUCUGCUGGAGCAGCACUGCUCAGCUGACUGGGGAAACAGGGGUGACAACUAGAGCCCAGAAUAACAGGAUUUCACAAUUUCACUUUGGGAACCCAACAGCUUUUUCAAACUGAAAUGCUACAAGAAGGCCAUAACAACUGUGAGAAGUGUUUCACAUUGCUGUUCCUUGCUUUAAAAAUAUAUAUUUUUUUGGUGAUGAUGUGGGUUUAAACUCUCCACUCCUUCCAUCUCUGUUAGUGAUGUGCCGUGCUGGUGGAGAAGAAAUGCCCAGGGCAAAUCAGGAUAGUGACCCUGUGGCUUUGCAGCGGAGUGGGUUGAUCAGGAAGGGAGGCCAGAGUUUAAAAUCUUUCUCUGCCCCUAGAGGCAUGACAUAGCUAUCCACCCAGACGUGGCAUGGUGGGGUUCUGCAUGCUUGUGCACAGCUGGGAUCUCUGGCCCUGCAGAGGGUUGAUAUGUUUGCAGCAUUGGUGUGGUGACACCCAUCCACCCUUGCAGCAAGGGCUUUUCAGGGUGACAGGGCAUUGUUUGUUUUUCAUGAGAGGAAACUCCUGACCUGGUUUCUGUGAGGAGAUGGUGUGAAGUGUCACAUUUGCUGCAGAGAGUGGCAGGGAGCAGCGAUAAAAGCAUGGAGCACGCUGUGUUUGAGAACAAGCCGAUCCUUGGUGGCCAUCUGAAACUGGAGAGCUGCCGGAUCUGCUCCCUGGAUGAUGCUUUCCAGCUCUUCUCACUCUCCCCAAACCCAAUGUGCAAACUGUCAUUCCUCUGAGCUAGCCAAAACACUCCCCCUGAGCUCCUCUGAGGCUGUGCAUUCCCAUCAUUUUGGUCCCCUCCCUGCUGGGUGCCAUGAAAUGCCUUGCCAGGUGCAUGAUGACCAGAGGCAUGCUGGUGGCUACACCUCCCCAUACCCUGCCUUUGCACAGCCUUCAGCAGUGCUCCCUGCCCUGGCUUGCCCACUGCUUGCUUGCUGCACAGCAACCGCUGCACAUGCUGGCAUCACUUGGUGCUUUCCCAGAGAAUUUUGCAACUAAGUUAGAAGGCCUUGAAGUUUUGGUGGUCCUGGUGUCCAGACCAGGGAGGAGAGGAGAAGCAGAUCAGCUGUUGUGGCAGUGAGAGAGCAGGGGACAGCAUCAUGGUGAAAGCAGCAUAUCUUCUGGAGAAGUCUCCAAACAUGGGCUCUGUGCUUCAAUGCUGGGGCUGAGGGCAGCUGACAGAGGGCAGAGUAGGAUGUGAAUGCUCAGCGAGACAUGGGAGAAAGAGAGCUGCUUGAGAACAUCUGUAAAAGGCUUUGCAAAGGUGUUGGUUUUUACAGGAGACAGACAGCAAAAUGGGGCAGGAGGAUGUGGUGCUGGAGCAACGGUGCUGCAAGGCAGGGAGGGUUGGGGGAGAUGAAGCAGGGCAUUUGAUAGAGAAGCUCAGGAACAGAGUGGGCUUUCGAUGCAAUCUCUGCUUGCUCUGGCUGAGGAGAAAGGCAGGAGGUGUUCCUGAGCUGAGGUGCCCAAGCCAUGUCUCGCUGCAUUGUUGGAGCAGCAAUGUCGCCUCCAAGCCCAGCAGUGACAGCUUGAGUAUCAACCACAAUGGCUAAUGCAGCCACAAGGUGUAAAUGUCACUAAUGAAUAAAUUGCCUUGUGCCUUGGAGAGGCUAAUCCAUCAUGGCCAGAGACAGGGAUCUGACAAGCCUGGCUAUUUCAGACAUACCCAGUAGGGAGGAGGAACGCUUCAUUUCUGAGCCAUCCCCUCCACCUAGGGAAGCCGAUGCAGGGCUUGGCUCUGUGCUACUUCCCUUCUUCCCAGCCACAUGAGCUCAGGCUUCAUCCCUCUUCAAUGCAACUGAAGAAGCAUGAAAGGAUCUAGAUUAGCCAAAAGUGCCCUGUUAGCAGGGUGGUACAUGGGGCUAUCAGGUGAUUGAGGUUGGAGGGAAGCUGCUGGGCACAGGGCACAGGUUCUGGAGGGGUGAUGGAAUACACUGCUGGGUCCCCAGUGAUCAGGAGAGUUUGUGUUAGUUGUCUAUGUUUUAGAAGCGUGCUGUUUCCUCGUCACCCCACUGUGCUGUCCCACAGGCAAGGCACAGUACCCCCAUUUUCAGUACCCCCUGUGUGUGAAUCCCAGCCACCAGUGCCCUGGCUGACUGUGCAGAGGGCCAGCAGGUACCAAACAGGCAGGGACAACUCAGCCUAGACAAAUCCAGCUCCAUGGGAGCAAAGGGAAGCUGAACAUAGCAACCAUUUCUGUGCACAGCCUCUGCUCAUCCUUGUGGCAGCCUGCUCCUCCUCCCCCAGUCGGUGCUCAAAAUCAACCUGCCAUCCUGUUUGUGACAUAUGCCAGUGUGACACCUUGCAAAUCAAUGCCUGGGUCUCUGUGAGCAGAAACCGCCAGGCUUGGGAAGCUGGCCACUGUUUCCUGCUGCCGUGUGUGCUCUGCUCAGAGCAGUGGAAGCCGGGCUCGCCAUCUGCUGUGGGAGAGAGCCAGCUGGGUGCCCCUGCUCCGGCCUGAUGGGACAGCCUGAGGGCGAGCCCUUGUGUCAUUCCCCCUUCUUUACCGUCUGACCACUCCUGUCUCACCAUCUCUCUGGCACAGAGCCAUGGGUGGGGGGAUGCUCCCAGCUUGACUCUGCUAAGUGCUGCUGAUGCUGUGGUGGCAGUGCCCAAGCUUGUUCCCUCCUCCAGAUGGAGGCCCACAAGUGAGUCCCCCCCUCCUUAGAACCUGCCAGUACUCCUUGGAGAUAGAUCUCAUGGGAAAGUUAAGGUAUUUGUUCUGGCCCUGCACUCAGCACGGAGUGACCAGCUAGUUACCUGCCCUGUGGUAGCUGGACCUGGAACUGACAAGUGACCCACAAACAGCAGGAAUGUUCACACUCCAACAAUCUGCUUUUGCUGUCUGGCUGAAAUGGUUUCAGCCUUUGCAGACUGUCACAUAGUUGACUGUUGGUCUUGGGUGUGGGCAAGUGCUGCAGGCUGCUUGGUUUGGACUUUGCUUUUUGGCCAAGAGAUUGAUGGGAGAGAGGGCAAAGAGUUCUCCAGGCAAGCGCUACCUGUCCGGGCAUUCCUGCACCUGGCAGCCCAGGAGUGGGUUUGAAGGGUGAUUAAGUGCUGUUAACAGUCUCAAGCUGUUAGCAGGAAAAUAAGCAGUGAAUAUCCUGGAAAGCAAGUGAGAAGUUGUUCUGGUCAUGGCAUAUUUUCCCAAGCCCUUUUCUUUCCAUCUCUUGUCCUCACUGGCUCUGGUGACUAAUUCCUCCUCAUGUGUCUGCUAGCAUGUCUGCAGGAUCUCAUCGCUGCCCACCAAGCAUGAGCUUCCACUGCACAACUGGCUGACCAGCUGCAGCCCUGUCCUUGGAGCUACAGGCAGGCUUGCCUAGGACCGGGCCACCCCCAUUAAACCCCCACCCUUGCUGCUGGAGCUGUUGCUUCAUCAGCCUGAUGCUGAUCUGGGUCUUUUCUGCUGUUUCUGAACAUGAGUUCUCAUCUCAUUGAGGUGUGUCAUCCAGUGAAAAUAUUUUGUAAAUGCAAAUAAAAAUAAUUAAGUAUAUUCAAUACCUCGGUCUCGAGGAUGGGAAACAAGGAGUGGGAGUCGCCCAGAUAGGAAGGUUUCACAGCUGCUACUGCUGGUUAGGAAUUCUUCUGGACGUAGCCCCUGGAGCAUCCAUCAAUAGUUGGGAAGGGAGUUACACAAACCUGUGAGGGCUUGGGUCUGAGCCCUGUCAGCACCCCUGCUGUUGGGGCAGCCUCGCACUCCAUCCUUUCUGAUCUAUAUGGGCAUGACACGGUGCAGGUAAAGGUCCUGUUGGCCAGGAGCCAGCGGCACCGUCGGUGUCUGUAUCCAUCAGACAGGGCAAGGCAGAAGCGGGUACAUGGUGAAUAAAUUACUUUGUGAACACUGGAAAACUGUUUUUAUUUUCCAACUCUGUCAAUAUGAUCUAGCUCUGUCUGUCUCUCUAUAUGUGUACAAACAGUAUAUCACAAUGUUGCCUUUUUUGUUGGAAAUAUCAAAGUACAAAGAUUGUAAACCAAAUCGGUGUAAUAAAAGUUUCAGAUGAUUCAC